Molecule: small nuclear RNA, 103 nt
Organism: Phodopus roborovskii (desert hamster)
Lineage: Eukaryota; Metazoa; Chordata; Mammalia; Rodentia; Cricetidae
Source: RefSeq, a predicted model, not a curated record
UUGCUUCAGUAACACAUAUACUAAAAUUGGAAUGAUACAGAGAAGAUUAGCACAGCUACUUCACAAGGAUGAGGCACAAAUUCAUGAAGCAGUCCAUGUUCCA